UUACGACCAUAUCACGUUGAAACACCGGUUCUCGUACGACCAGCGAAGUUAAGCAACGUCGAGGCUGGUCAGUACCUGGAUGCCUGGCCGCUUGGCAAUCUCAAGCGCUAU
Molecule: non-coding RNA, 111 nt
Organism: Acanthosepion pharaonis
Lineage: Eukaryota; Metazoa; Mollusca; Cephalopoda; Sepiida; Sepiidae
Source: the annotation of a GenBank genome assembly